Molecule: ribosomal RNA, 465 nt
Filed under: Vreelandella stevensii
Lineage: Bacteria; Pseudomonadati; Pseudomonadota; Gammaproteobacteria; Oceanospirillales; Halomonadaceae
Description: partial 16S ribosomal RNA
Rfam family: Bacterial small subunit ribosomal RNA
Source: RNAcentral
CCUACGGGGGGCUGCAGUGGGGAAUAUUGGACAAUGGGCGAAAGCCUGAUCCAGCCAUGCCGCGUGUGUGAAGAAGGCCUUCGGGUUGUAAAGCACUUUCAGUGGGGAAGAAAGCCUUUGGGCUAAUACCCUCGAGGAAGGACAUCACCCACAGAAGAAGCACCGGCUAACUCCGUGCCAGCAGCCGCGGUAAUACGGAGGGUGCGAGCGUUAAUCGGAAUUACUGGGCGUAAAGCGCGCGUAGGCGGUCUGAUAAGCCGGUUGUGAAAGCCCCGGGCUCAACCUGGGAACGGCAUCCGGAACUGUCAGGCUAGAGUGCAGGAGAGGAAGGUAGAAUUCCCGGUGUAGCGGUGAAAUGCGUAGAGAUCGGGAGGAAUACCAGUGGCGAAGGCGGCCUUCUGGACUGAAACUGACGCUGAGGUGCGAAAGCGUGGGUAGCAAACAGGAUUAGAUACCCGAGUAGUC